GAUUACUUUAUUCCCCCCCCAACCCCCCCCGCGGCGCCCGGAGCCGGAAAAACACAUUUUCCCCCAACACCCAGCUUCUGCACUUCGACGAACCCUUGAUUUCAGACCACCUACAUUUGGCCCCUUCCCAACGUUUGUUCAAGGCGUCACCUCCUCCGUCUUCAGCCAAAUCUCGUUUUCACUGUCCCAUUUUCCCACACCCUUCUCCCUUCCGUUGUUGGUUCUCCAUUUUCGACUACCUGCAAAAUGAAAAAAUCGAGUUCCCUUCAUUCCGGCUAGUAACGACAUUGUGACCCUACGUUUCCUUCCAUUACAACUGAGGUUAUGUGCCUCCAUUUCGUUUCCCAAGUUGAACUUUUGCCGCAAUCCAGUAUAAUCGUCCUCUGCUCUAGGGAAUAUCAUCGCCGUCCAGCUCCAAAUUUCUCAUGGGCUUUUCUUCAACACUAGAUUUUGCCCCCAUGAAUUGCAGAAAUAUCAGACAGCCAGAUACAGACCAGAUUCUUCAGAAUUGGGCAUGCUUUGCCCAUGUGAUACCCCUGAAGGUGAAGCUUGUGGAAUGGUAAAAAACUUGGCCUUGAUGACUCAUGUUACAACUGAUGAAGAGGAGGGCCCAUUAAUUUCUCUGGCAUUGAAUAGCACGCAUGUUCUGACCUCAUGCAGAAGAGGAGAGUUUUAUGAUCAGUGGGGUGAUAUGGCCAUUCAAGCUUGGGCUGAGUAGUAGUAACAUGAGUUUUCUAUCUUCGGGUUCGUCACCUUUCUCGAUCAAAGGUGAUAAGAGGUGUGGAACUUGGUAGCAGUUAUUUUAAUGACAGUAGAGUCCUCAAAUCUAUUAUAACAAUGAUGUUUAUAUAUUAUAUAAUUAGUAGCUCAGCUUGUACUUGAUAUGAUCAGUAUAAUGCACCACCCAGUGUAAAAAUAUACACGAGCUUGAAGAAAUUAUUGAAUUGAAUGGUCUCAUAUAUAUUUGUUGAUGCAUGGAUAAUUAGUUCGUAAUGUCAACCAGGUACAUUUGAAUGAAUGGAGGAAAAAUAGUUAAUUUUCAGGCUUUGGGAACAAUAAAAAAUGAGACCCAGUAAGAAUAUUGGGUUAUUAAAAGUCGAUUUUUAGGUUUUUCUAGCGAUUUUUCAAUCGCUGCCUAUAAGUUAAAAAACCAAAAAAUUCAAUAGUGGCGAUUGUGAAAUUGCUGGCAACACCUUUACCAGUGAUUUUUUAAUCGCCAAUAUUGAGUUCAAAAACCAAAACACAUUUCCCAGCGAUUAGGAAAUCGCUAGUAAAACCUUUCCCAACGAUUUUUUCGUCGCUACAAUUGAGUUUAAAAACCGAAAACAUCUUUCCCAGCUAUUAGGAAAUGGUUAGGAAAGGUUUUGCCAACGAUUUCCUAAUCGCCACGAUUGAGAUAAAAAUCGAAAACACCUUUCUCCACAAUUAGGAAAUCGCUGGUAAAGGUUUUUCCAACAAUUUCCUAAUUGCUGCGAUUGAGAUAAAAAUCGAAAACACAUUUCCCAGCGAUUAGGGAAUUGCUGGGAAAGGUUUUGCCAGCGAUUAAAUAAGCGCUGCUACUGAGUUCACUAACAAAAAACUCAAUUGCAGCAAUUAAAAAAUUGCUGGCAAAACCUUUCCUAGUGAUUUUCUAAUUGUUGGGAAAUGUGUUUUUAGUUUUUUAUCUCGAUAGCGGCGAUGAUAAAAUCGCCGGGAAAUCCUUUGCUUUUAGCGGUGAUUUUUAACUUCCACUAUAGUAUAUCAGAAAUGGAGGAAUAGUACCGGAGGAACUACAGCGAGUUUAAAAUCGCUGAGAUUGAUAUUUGGCUGGAAUUUUUUGGCUUUUCUUAGGAAAAGUGCCUUCCGUUGUAUUGCAGUGUGGAGGGCUGGCAAAGUCGUUAGACUUCACCGAUGUGGGGAACUCGUUCCUAUGUUUUAGUGCUUGAAAACUGUUAAAGAAAGUUGUGUGGAUACAGUAAUCUGAAAAAAUAAAUGUGACUUUGAUGCGUGUAAAACACUAUCUUUAAGAUGAUAAUUGCCCCCACUCGAAAGAGUUUGCUUCCGGGUUACAAGCAAUUCACCUCCAGGACACAACAAAGUCACCAACUAUAGAUAGCAAUUCUGAAGUCUUUCCUUCAGAGUUUCUCUACAAAAUUAUGUAAGUGAUUGAAAAAAUGAGAGAAUGGAAUGAAUUAAAUUUGUGGGUUUUAUCCUCUAUUUAUAGAGGGUGAAGUGACACCAUGUGAAAAAUCACAACUCUUAACUUGUGACUUUUCAACUGGUAGUUAUAGCUUAAAGGUCAUGUUGUUUCAUUGAAAGACCAAAGAACAUGUCUGGUUAAGUGGUUGGACAGCUCUCUUCCUAAAGGGAGGUCACUGGUUCAAAUCACACCUAUUCAACAUUUCUGUUGAAAUGAUUUUGAAGCACACCAAGUAGGUCUUCACACGGGCCGCACGGGCCGGUUUGAUCCAUGCGUGGUGCCUCUUCGACCCACCCCAGACAUUGUGUCUAUUCGGCCCAUGUGUGGUGCCUCUUCGGCCCAACCGGUUCAACCCAUGCGUGGUGUCUCUUUAGCUCCAACAUUAUGUCUCUUUGGCCCAACCUGUUCAGCCCUAGCAUUGUGCCUAUCCAAGUCCAACACUUUACUUAUUCCACAAAAUAAAUGAAAGUGCACUUGUGGAGUUUCAAACUCUUACCCUUUCAUUUGAAACAACACAUCACUACCACUGAACCAAUGCAUUUCGUUGAAAUAAUGGUUCAUUGAAAUCUAUAAUAACCCACAUUCAAUAAAUUUACAUAUUUAAUAUCACAAUCUAUAAUAAAUAUAACAAUCCCCCGCUUAGAUUGCGAUAUUAAAUUUUCAGUCAAAUACUGAUAUCUUGAUGCAUACAAGAAGGUAUCUCUCGACUUAAACCUUCAAUUAGUGUAAGUAUCUCAAAUUAUUAACAAAGUCAAUGGUGGCCUAGGCUUAAACCAAGACUCUAUACGUUAAGAACGGAAAUAUCACACAUAUGAUUCCAUCCAAUUUUAGCAAGAUAACUCACCAAUUAUUUGCAUUAAUACACGUGCUCCAUCCUGGCAUUCAUGAACAUUUACAAAGUAAACCUUAAACUUUUGCUAGAAGUUAUCCCCACCUCUUAUGUUCACAUAGGUAAAGUUCCUUUCAUGUCUUUGUUACUUCAGACACUAAUUCAACUAUUGAACUUUAUUAAGAGCAUAAUACCCAUCCUACAUUUAGCGUAACAGCUAGCACUGACCAUCCUAGAAGGGUUUCUCACAAUUAAAUUAAAUUUUAGUACUAUUCCAGCCACUUAACUGUAACUUGUUAUUACCCAUUAAACCUAGACUAUUUAUUAAUAGUGUAAGGUUGGGUUCCUAUUAUAGGUGACUUUUUAAAAGAAAGGUUUCAAACCCAUUCCACUAGAUGUACUAUUCACCAAAUCUCCCGAGAGUCCCUUUGUGAAAGGAUCUGUCAAGUUUUUACUUGACCGCAGAUAUACAAUAGUGAUAAUUCCAUCACUUAUUAAUUGUUUGACAUAUUCAUGUCUCAAGCUAAUAUGUCUAGAUUUUCCAUUAUAGACUUUACUUUAAGCCCUAGACAUAGUAGCUUCAAUGUAACUUGUUACGUACAAGUAAAGUCGCAUACUAAUUUGCAUAUCAAUAUUGAUUCAUUUAUAUUCAAAAUUUAAAUUGGCAUUAUUUUCAAUAAAAUCUACUUUUUGACCAAUUAUAUUAUAUUGGUGUACAUAUUAAUACAUAAUUGUACUUGUAAUUAAAUUUUUCGAUGGGAACAUAGGGGAGCAAGAGAGAAAAUUCCAGGUAAUGAUACCCUUCACUCUCGUUUACGAUUCGUUUACAAUCGGAUGACGUGGCAGCUUAUUUUUGUUUUCCUUUCAAAGCUUUUAAAAUCAUUUCUCAGCAACAAAAUCCAUCAAGAUAUUUGAAAUUCAAAAACAAAAUUUCAUCCGUUCGGCACCAUCAUCUCAGGUGACUCACUCUCCCUCCAUCUAUUCUCCACCCCUCCCCGACUCUCUCUCUCUCUCUCUCUCUCUCUCUCUCUCUCUCUCUCUCUCUCUCUCUCUCUAUGAUUUUGACCAAAAAUGGUUAACAUUUACUGGUUACAGCCUUCAUUGCUGCCAUACACACUGCCUAAGACACCCUUCUCACACCUCCAGCUUGCACGUCAUUUGAAUUUUUUACUUGGGUAAAUCCAAAAGUCCCUGAAUAUGGUCCAAGCAUGAUAGAUAGGGAACUAAAUGAGCAGGUGGUGGCUGAAGCUGCUCAAAGUCCUUUAAUGGACGAACACGAUAUAUCCAAAUAUAGGAUGAUGAGGGAACCAAAAGUUGUUCAGCACUGAGUUGAACUUGGAAACAAAACAAGUAGGAGCAAAAUAUUGAUCCAUAGAAUGCAUGGGAUCACACUUUGAGUGCGAUGGAUCUUUUUCAACUUGUACUUAUGACCCAUCAAUUAAUUUAAAUUAAACCUAAAAGCAAUUAAUGGAGCUUCCACUAAA
This is a long non-coding RNA of Carya illinoinensis, 4492 nucleotides long. RefSeq lists it as uncharacterized. NCBI's taxonomy places the organism in Eukaryota, Viridiplantae, Streptophyta, Magnoliopsida, Fagales, Juglandaceae. The record is from RefSeq and is a predicted model, not a curated record. The transcript is spliced from 5 exons.